UACGUAGGGUGCAAGCGUUAAUCGGAAUUACUGGGCGUAAAGGGUGCGUAGGCGGGUCUUUAAGUCAGGGGUGAAAUCCUGGAGCUCAACUCCAGAACUGCCUUUGAUACUGAGGAUCUUGAGUUCGGGAGAGGUGAGUGGAACUGCGAGUGUAGAGGUGAAAUUCGUAGAUAUUCGCAAGAACACCAGUGGCGAAGGCGGCUCACUGGCCCGAUACUGACGCUGAGGCACGAAAGCGUGGGGAGCAAACAGG
Molecule: ribosomal RNA, 253 nt
Filed under: uncultured bacterium
Lineage: Bacteria
Description: partial 16S ribosomal RNA
Rfam family: Bacterial small subunit ribosomal RNA
Source: RNAcentral